This is a long non-coding RNA of Pyrus x bretschneideri (Chinese white pear), 1579 nucleotides long. RefSeq lists it as uncharacterized. The transcript is spliced from 3 exons. The record is from RefSeq and is a predicted model, not a curated record. Lineage: Eukaryota; Viridiplantae; Streptophyta; Magnoliopsida; Rosales; Rosaceae.
GGACUGGACUGGACUGGACUAUAGUCCCUUGUUUGGUCUGCUGCAGGAUUAGGUUUAAUGAGAUUAGGUGGGACUCGCUCGGAUUAACCACCUCCUUACGAGGUCUUACCUAGGAUCCUCAAUUUCGGGCGGACUCGUAAGCCCAGAGAAAAUCGUCUUCCCUCAUCGUCGUCCUUGCCCUCCCUCAUCGUCGUCUUCCUCAUCCUCAUCUCUGCGUCUUCCUCACCCUCAUCUCUACAUCUUCCCUCGUCUGCAUCUGCUCGCCCUCAUCUGCUCCGAGUUGUCUGAAAAGAGGAGCAUAAACUGAAGUGGGCAAUGCUCAGAACCUAAGGGAAAACAAGUAACAAACUACUCAAAACCCUCGAGUCUAGAAGAAGAAAAGAGGAGUAUAAACUGAAGUGGGCAGUGCUCAGAACCUAAGGGAAAAUAAGUAACAAACGACUCAAAACCCUCGAGUCUAGAAGAAGGUAUAUUUCCUAAAACCAUAGAUCAAAUUUGGACAGAAUGUAGUCCUUGGAUGUGUGAAAGUCUGCAUUGCAUCUAUGUGAAUAUGACUUUUGUGAUAUUAUAGAAAAACCAAACUGUUUGUAUUGUUGGAAAUUUGGAAUUAGGGUUGGUGGAAUUUUGAUGGAUCUGUUAAACAUUCUAGUCUCGCAACUGCUGGAUUUGUUAUCAAUGUUUCCAACAGCGUUGUUAAAAUUGCAGGAGCUAAUCCUACAGGUUUUUCUUCAGUUCUUAAACUUGAGCCUAUGUGAUUAAAGUUUGGUGUUAUGUGCAAAUGGCUACGAUUAAAGUUUGCUAAAAGUUUGGUCUUAAUGGAAUAAAAGGUCGUUAAUUUUUUUUCCCUGUUGAAUUAGAUGACCUUGUAUCCUUGUGAGUGUCCAGGUAUAUAACUUCAUAUACUUUUGGAAUGCAACACAUUCUAUGUAGCUCUAUGUUCUAUACACUUUAGAAACUUAACAAACAACGAGUAAUAUUUGAGCAAACCUUAAAUUUCCAAACGUGAUGUCAACGAUCCAAUUGUUCAUCUUUCACAUUCUAUGUACCUCUCUCUCUCUAUAAAUCUAAUUUGAAGUGAUUGAAAAUUGGGUUUUGUGAAUUUUUUUUUUUUCUUUUGUUGUUGUUGUUGUAUGUUUUGGCUGUGAAUUGCCUUGUAGAGCUCUGUUGAACACUAGGUUACAUUGCUAUGCAAAAUUGAGGCAUUUUUGACUCCAUCAAGACUCGUGUCCAUAAGGAGCAAGGCAUUUGUCCCAGUUUUGGGGGUAUUAGUUUGGAUAAUUUCAACUUGCAAAUAAGCAAGCUCAUAUUUCAUAUAUUUUGGAUGUAUGCAAAUUAUAGUUUGGAUAAUUUCAACUUGCAAAUCAGCCGUAGGUAACUUCUUAGAUUAAGCUCUUUGGGCAUGAUUUCUUAAUUGACUAAUCUUAUUUUAGGGCGUUGGACACAUGUAUUGGAGCUAUUAAAAUAGAACCAUAAUGUAAUCCUAGUCUAAGCAAACACAAAUAUGGUGAAUAAUCAUGUUUUCAUUAUCCUGCUUCUUAGUCCGACACUCCACCAAACGCUUCACUAAGUUAGUCCAGCU